UCCCUGGUGGCUCAGAGGUUAAAGCGUCUGCCUCCAAUGUGGGAGACCUGGGUUCGAUCCCUGGGUUGGGGAA
Ovis aries (sheep) is the source of this 73-nucleotide non-coding RNA. NCBI's taxonomy places the organism in Eukaryota, Metazoa, Chordata, Mammalia, Artiodactyla, Bovidae. The record is from Rfam.